GAUGAACGCUGGCGGCGUGCCUAAUACAUGCAAGUCGAGCGAACAGACGAGGAGCUUGCUCCUCUGACGUUAGCGGCGGACGGGUGAGUAACACUUGGAUAACCUACCUAUAAGACUGGGAUAACUUCGGGAAACCGGAGCUAAUACCGGAUAAUAUAUUGAACCGCAUGGUUCAAUAGUGAAAGACGGUUUUGCUGUCACUUAUAGAUGGAUCCGCGCCGCAUUAGCUAGUUGGUAAGGUAACGGCUUACCAAGGCAACGAUGCGUAGCCGACCUGAGAGGGUGAUCGGCCACACUGGAACUGAGACACGGUCCAGACUCCUACGGGAGGCAGCAGUAGGGAAUCUUCCGCAAUGGGCGAAAGCCUGACGGAGCAACGCCGCGUGAGUGAUGAAGGUCUUCGGAUCGUAAAACUCUGUUAUUAGGGAAGAACAAAUGUGUAAGUAACUAUGCACGUCUUGACGGUACCUAAUCAGAAAGCCACGGCUAACUACGUG
Molecule: ribosomal RNA, 497 nt
Filed under: uncultured bacterium
Lineage: Bacteria
Description: partial 16S ribosomal RNA
Rfam family: Bacterial small subunit ribosomal RNA
Source: RNAcentral